RNAcentral lists this unclassified non-coding RNA (334 nucleotides) under soil metagenome. Its description in RNAcentral is "partial contains 5.8S ribosomal RNA, internal transcribed spacer 2, and large subunit ribosomal RNA". The stretch from base 1 to 120 matches the Rfam family "5.8S ribosomal RNA", at positions 35 to 154 of the family's 154-position model. The record is from RNAcentral.
GAUGAAGAACGCAGCGAAAUGCGAUAAGUAGUGUGAAUUGCAGAAUUCAGUGAAUCAUCGAAUCUUUGAACGCACAUUGCGCCCCUUGGUAUUCCAUGGGGCAUGCCUGUUCGAGCGUCAUUUGUACCUUCAAGCUUUGCUUGGUGUUGGGUGUUUGUCCAUUCUCUUGCAGAGGGACUCGCCUUAAAGUAAUUGGCAGCCAGUGUUUUGGUUUUGAAGCGCAGCACAAGUCGCGAUUCAAAGCUAUACGCCCGCUUCCACAAGCCUUUUUCACUUUUGACCUCGGAUCAGGUAGGGAUACCCGCUGAACUUAAGCACAUCAAUAAGCGGAGGA